This 492-nucleotide ribosomal RNA is filed under the name uncultured bacterium. RNAcentral describes it as "partial 16S ribosomal RNA". It matches the Rfam family "Bacterial small subunit ribosomal RNA", at positions 29 to 507 of the family's 1533-position model. The record is from RNAcentral.
AGUGAACGCUGGCGGUAGGCCUAACACAUGCAAGUCGAACGGCAGCACAGUAAGAGCUUGCUCUUACGGGUGGCGAGUGGCGGACGGGUGAGGAAUACAUCGGAAUCUACUUUUUCGUGGGGGAUAACGUAGGGAAACUUACGCUAAUACCGCAUACGGCCUACGGGUGAAAGCAGGGGAUCUUCGGACCUUGCGCGAUUGAAUGAGCCGAUGUCGGAUUAGCUAGUUGGCGGGGUAAAGGCCCACCAAGGCGACGAUCCGUAGCUGGUCUGAGAGGAUGAUCAGCCACACUGGAAGUGAGACACGGUCCAGACUCCUAAGAUAGGCAGCAGUGGGGAAUAUUGGACAAUGGGCGCGAACCUGAUACAGCCAUACCGCGUGGGUGGAGGAGGCCUUCGGGUUGGAAAGCCCUUUUGUUGGGAAAGAAAAGCAGCAGGUUAAUACCCCGCUGUUCUGACGGUACCCAAAGAAUAAGCACCGGCUAACUUCGUG